Molecule: long non-coding RNA, 7629 nt
Organism: Columba livia (rock pigeon)
Lineage: Eukaryota; Metazoa; Chordata; Aves; Columbiformes; Columbidae
Exons: 2
Source: RefSeq, a predicted model, not a curated record
GGGCGGGGCCGGGCCGGGGGAACUGGUGGAGAGAGUCCAGCGCAGAGCCGUGGAGGUGAUGGAGCGGAGCGUCCCCCGUGUGAGGAAAGGCUGAGGGAGCUGGGUCUCUUUAGCUUGGAGGAGACUGAGGGGUGACCUCAUUAAUGUUUAUAAACAUGUAAAGGGUGAGUGUCACGAGGAUGGAGCCAGGCUCUUCGCGGUGACAACCAAUGAUGAGACAAUGGGUACAAACUGAAACACAGGAGGUUCCACUUAAAUAUGAGAAGAAACUUCUUCUCAGUGAGGGUGACAGACACUGGAACAGGCUGCCCAGGGGGGUUGUGGAGUCUCUGGAGACAUUCAAAACCUGCCUGGACGCCUUCGUGUGUCACCUCAUCUGGGUGCUCCUGCUCCGGCAGGGGGAUUGGACUGGAUAUCUUUCCAGGUCCCUUCCAGCCCGUGUCAUUCUGCGAUCCUGUGGUUCUGUUCGCAGGACAGGCAGUGGCAGCCAGCUGCCGCUGCGCGGGGCCCUCGGUCGGCGCCUGAGGGGAAGGGGUCAGGCGGGGCUUCCCGGAGCCCCGGCGGCUUGGCUGCGGAGCCCGCGCUCGCCUCGCCGCAACCCGCGGGAGCGGUGCAGCCGUCCUGCUCCUGCGGGGCCGGGCAGGGCGGCCAAGGGCUGCCCCGGGCUAGGCUGGGGAGCCGGUGCCCGCCGGGGCGCCGCGGGAGCCCGAUCCGGGGUAGCCGGGCCGGGAACGGGUGCCUGACGGGACUUUGCGGGAUUGUUCUAAAACCCGUGAACACCCGGGACAGAGCUGCGGAUCCGGGCAGUGUUGCAUCCUCAGGCUCUGGUGCGGCAGGGGUCAGGGUGCGCUGCGCUCCUUGUGCUGCUCGGCUGUUCUCUGCAUCACUGCCCGUGUUCUCUAGUGCUUGGUAAAGCUUUCAAUAAGCUGCUGAUAUUGAUGCCUCUUGGAAAAGGCCACUUCUUGCUAUAUGGAGACAGACCUAAACGGAUGUCUAAUGUAGGUAAAUAAUAUAAUCAACCACUGUAACUAGCGGUAGAUUAAAAUAAAUGAGAAGGGAAUAAAUCAUAUUUGGAAUUUAGCUUCCCUUAAUAUUAUGUUUAGGAAAGAUUAAAUGCCCAUGUUUUCUGCUUAUGGUCAUGUUUUUCCAAGAAUAGGAUAUUGUAUUAGGUUAAAUUUGAUUCUGCAGUUAUGUCUUACAAAAUAAGGAGAGAAAGCUGUGUUUCUGAUGUGAUAACUUUUUAAAUGUUGAACAUUAUUUGUUAUACAUAUUAGAAUGGGGGGGAGUGGCUCAUUUGUUUUCACAGAAUUUACACUUACAAUAUUUCCUCAAAUUCUGUGAAUUUACUUCUCAUUUCAAGAGUAAAACAACAUCAUCUUUCUCUGUAAAAUGAUGCAGAAAUGUAUGUGCUCGCAGGUGCAGAACAAGCAAAUAUGAGAGACUCACAGAAUGGCUGAGGCUGGAAGGGAGCUCUGCGGGAGCUGCCUCGUCCACCACCCUGCACAAAGCGGGAUCAGCAGGGGCCAGUUGCUCAGGGCCGGGUCUGGGGGAGUUCUUAGUGUCUAAGUGUCCUCUCUGGGCAGCCUGCCCCAGCGCUCAGUCACCCUCACUGUUUAAAACACAAGCAAGUUGGUUUGGCUUUCUUCUUAUAUUUAAAUUAAAUUCCUGGUGUCUCAGUACAUGCCCACUGCCUUUUCUCCCGUCACUGGGCACCACUGAGAAGCUUGGCUCUGUCUUUACACCCUCCCGUCAGAUACGUGGUGAUAGCAUUCCCCUGAGCCAUCUCUCAGGGCUGAACAGUCCCUGACCUUAUAUGACAGAUGCUCCCAUCCCUUAAUUGUCCCAUUAAGCUAUAUUGGAUGCUAUAUUAUGAUAGUAUUCCCUAUACUGCUCAUACAGUUUUCUGUUGCUGCUUGCAGCAGAGAACAGCACAGAACUAUGUGCCACCAAAGCUGUCUCUCGGGAUCCCCAUUCUGCAAUGUACUUCUCUGAGCAAGGAGAUUCAGGGUGAAUUUAUACCUGUGCCAAGCUGCUUUCCCGAGUGUAAGUCAAGUGUCAGAGAGAAAUAAAUACAACAAAUCCUGCACCAUUAAAAAAACAUAUUCUUGCUAAGGUGUUACAACUCUGGAAGUAGCCGUGCUCUAGGGGUGGUGGUGCGGUUUGAUUUCACAUUUCCAAACACUGUUACAUGUUUCCAAUGUAUUAUUUAUUAAACAUGUAGGAGAGAAAAACAUUCUAAAAAAAAUUCACCUAUGAGGUUUCUUUAUAUAUCAUAAAGAAAACAAAGGGUUAUGAGUCCAUACUGUUAAAAAGGGAAAAAAAAGCUCUUGCAGUUCACCUCCAAUAUAACCAACAGCAUUUGGUUUAAAAUGUUGAUUUAUUGCACACUUAAUACAAGAAAAGAGAACCAACAACCUAUUAGACUUCACCCUCAGCUUUUAUUAACUUCCUUUUAUGGUAGCCUGAAUAGUAUUGUACAGGUCUACAUUAAGUUAUAUCAUCAUUUUAUUACCAAAGGGAAUGACUCGGCCUUGCCACCAUUUGCAGGAUUUGAUUUUUUCAGGCAACGAUACAGUUUAUUACACUGCUAAAAUUAAUUUUAUCUGCCCUGAUAAUACAUGCUUUGGCUUAGUAUGUGAACUGCCAUUUCCAAAACAAAGGAAUUAUGUCUAGGAUCAGGUAUCGUAAAGAAACAGCUGUAACAAGUAAAACACAGUUCUGUUACGAAUCUAAGUAGUUCCUUCUGCUGUAACUUUUCAAGUGCUUUAUUUAUGUGAAAAAUGACCUAGUGUGCUUGAAUUUUGAGUAAGUUCAAGUAUGACUUUAUUUAUUAUCCAUGUACUGUAUUAACAUUCACAAUUUAUUUUCAGUCCAAAAUCUUAGAUUCUUAUGUUACAUUUUUAUAAGAGAAAGUUGGAAAUUAUUUGGAGAUGAAAAUGCAAUGAUGUGAUCUGUAACCUGGAAUGUGGGAUGCAGGUUUUACUGGAGACGGUGCUGCCUGGUUAAACAAGGCAUAACACAGCAAACUGGAUUCCCGCUGGCUUAGGCUGAGGUCCCGUGUGUACCUGAGCUGGUCUAACAGCUCGCCCUUACCAAAGGAGGGGGGCUUAGUACCUCACUGCCUGUCCUUGCUCUCAGUCAUGUGAGGGCUUUCUCCCUCCCUUCUGCCAGGUGUGGCCCUCACUAGAUGCCUCUAAGAAUAGCUUAAAUUAUCUAAUUUAAGCUAAAACUAUGCAGUUGAGGGCUGGUUUUCUGCCAGUUUGUUGCGUUUGACACUUUUUAAUCUGAUUCCAUGAUUGCUAGGCCUGGCACAAGGUGAGCGGUGAGAGUGUGUGCCCAGGAGUAGCUGGGAGACAAGGGAGAGCAUAGGGAUGGAACAGGGUCUGUCCCUUCGGCACUGAUGAGAUGGUUGAUGGCCUCACUCUCUCUUCACAUUUUCUUAGGGUUUGGGGGGUGAGGGGUCCCCUCUGCUUGUCUGGGACGCUGCAUUCUGUGCAAACAGUGUAUAGUUUUUGUAAAGUGUGUGAACACGUGUAUACAGCAUGUGCUAUAGAGAAAAUGAGAGUUCCUCACUGAGGUAGUGAGGCAGAGUAAAGCUCUAUGAAUAAGCCUCAAGCCUUUAUUGUUGUAAAGCAGAUACCCAAAAUAUGAAUCAAAAAUUUUCAUAUAGGAAUGCCUGUAGAGAACUGAGACAAGUGGUUUCAGAAGCAUGAGCUGCAUCUAAGAAUUGUUAACACACGUUCCUAUUUAAGUGGUUAUUUAAAUAGCGAACUUUUUAUUGUCUAUUGGAGCAUCUAGGAAAGGUAUGAAUGAGACUGCGUGCUGGUGGCAUUAGGAUAUGGGACUGGGCAAAGCUGCCACAGCCAUUUAGAGAAAAGCAUUGUGGGUCGAGUAACCUGCUGGCCUAUGGAACACUUGCCAUAAGUAAAUUGUGAUUAAAGUGGAAAAACAAAAGAACAGUUGAUAUUGUGUGACUUAAAACUCUCCAGGCAGAACAGAGAAGACAACAGUAAAUAAGAAGUUGCCUUGGGGAGGUACAGAAAGAAAUGGCACAGCUGGGCCUGGGAUACCAACCACUGAGGUAAACCUCCAGGGAACUAGAAAAAUUGUAACGGAUGACUAGAACAAGGAACUCUGGACAUUUCAGAGCUGUGAGUAUACUGAAUCGCAGUUCAAAGAAGCUGAAUUAUCCUCACCCUUUGCAGCAUGCUGUUUUCAGGUUCCCAAGGCUCCAAGGGCUCGUGGCCUACAGACUGCAUUUUGAACUCUUCUUUACCAGGACUACACACCACUCCUUAAUUUUGCAUGGUGGUAUGUGUAUAUAAUAAAGCUGGUUUGAUAGAGGACUUGGUCUUUAUCUUGAUUGUGGAAGGUUCAACCACCCUGUUCUGGCAACAGCACAAUUAUCUCUCAAACAUCUUUACAAUCAGCCUAGUGAGCAAAGUCUCAAAUUGGAUGGAGCUGCUACUGCAAACAGGCUUUAACUGGUGGUGUAACAACACCGUCACGUUUUUUUUGCAAAUACAAUUGCUGGUAUUUCCUACAUUUUGUGUCACAGAUCUGUUUUAUGUUCCUAAUGCUUCAUUUGCAGUAGAUUUCAUUAUAGUUUUUUUAAUUUCCUGUAUUUUGUACCAAAGUUAGUGUAGAUUUCAAGAAGCCUGUAGUGCUGCCAGAAAAUGAUACUGUUUUCAUUUAAGUUUCAGUUCUUAUUCAUUGUCUAUUUUGAAUUGAGAUGAUUUGGGCUCACAAAUGCACCAUAACUGUUGGGCUUCUGUGUCCUGUUCAACUUGUAGGUGAAGGAGUCAGUGUGGGAAAGGCCAGCAGGAGCCAGCUGUUAGUCUGCCGUGUGUAAAAUGACUCUGUCACUGUAUAUGUAAAGCACAUGGAGACCCUGAGGCAGUAUCCUAAUUCAGGAGCAGCAGGACUUGACUGCCCAGGUGGAAUCUGUACUUGCAUGUAGAUUACGUUUAUGUUUUCUUUUUCUCUGAAGUCAUCAGAAGAACCACAAGUUAAUAAAAAUGCUGUGAAGAUGAUUUUUUAUUAUACAAUAUUUCAAAAUUGUUAUUUAACUGCUAAUGUGGCAGCAGCAGUGACCCAUCUGCACGGCCUUGCGCACGCUCCAGGACCCGGGCACCGUUGGCAAGGCAGAGCCGCUGGUGUGUCUCAUGAACAAGCUGCCUCACACUUACUGGUGUAAGACCUUAUUUAAAGUUGCCUGUGAUGUUCCCAAACAUUAGACUUCUGACAUUCACAUGGAACUGUUCCACAUCAGGUAUUUCCUGAAAGAGCAUCCUCAGGAUGCUUUCUUUUCAGUUUCAGAAAAAAAUGUUUCCAAGAAUAAUAUGUUGGGUAGAUGGUUCUCAUCACUCAUAUUUCUAUUAUUUUUUAAUUCAUUUAAAAUACCCACAGCAGUUUGUCUGAAAACCAGCAGCAUCCACACACUUUUGAGAAAGAAGCACAAUUUGGCAGAGAUGCUUACUCCUGUGUCAGAAAUGUUCUCAUAAAGCAAACAUAUUUGACUCACCUAUAACCUUUUUUUAAGAACUGUGAUUUAUCUGUAGUCAGCUGAGACUGGGCAGCUAAGUUGCAUCUGAUGCAUGUGGGUGUGUGAGGGAUUCGGGAGGACGUCUGCAGCGCCCCUGUGCUCUGCGACAGGCCUGGGCGCAGGAACUGGGGACAGUGGGGCACUUUCUUUUUGUCCUUAGGGCGCUGCUGCCCGCAGUGGGCACCGAUUCGGAACAUGGGAUGUGACCCUGCUUGCGUCACAGAAUCACAGAAUGUUUGGGAUUAGAAGGGACCUCAAAAGAUCAUCUAGUCCAAUCCCCCUGCCAGAGCAGGAACACCCACAUGAGGCUACACAGGAAUGUGUCCAGGCGGGUUUUGAAUGUCUCCAGAGUAGGAGACUCCACAACCCCCUGGGCAGCCUGUUCCAGUGUCUGUCACCCUCACUGAGAAGAAGUCUCUUCUCAUAUUUAAGUGGAACCUCUUGUGUUCCAGUUUGUAUCCCCCGAGCCGUGUGAGGAGGGAGCCGGAGGGCAGCUCCACAGCACUUCAGGCUGGCCCCAUGCAGAACUGUUUGCAACCUAAAUCAACAGGAGAGAAUGUGUUAUGCAAGAGAGGUCUAGCAAAAUUUGUAACAACUGCUUGAGUUUCACCUGGAAGAGACCAGAACAAACUGGAACUUCUAGUUGUCAGCAGAGGAAGACAGAGUUCAGUUUCAAGUUAAGACAAAUCCCUUCCCCGGCUGUUUCCUGCAGUUAUGUGAUCCCAGCCUUGAACACAACACAAAAGUCUGAGAAGGGGGUGUCUCCUUUGGAUACUGCUCGUGUGUUGGUGAGAACAUUUCCAUGGAUAAAUAUUAACAGACUAGGUUGAUGGUUAUUUCAAUAUCAUCUCACAAGUAUCUGUUCUUUUCCUUUCCCAUGGAAGAAUAAUAUCAAACAACUCAAGCUUUUUCUCCUAAGGUAGAAAAUUCCAAGAGAUGUGACUGAGUAUACUGAAGUACAUAUAUUUCAUAUGCAGCUCCCUGACUAUGCUGCUCUUCAGCUUGCCAUACAUUUCUAGAACUUUCCAGUCCACAGCACACACAGCUCCUAUUGAAAACAGAAGAUGAAUAAAGAGGGAUCCUGCACACCCAGAACAGAUACUCGCCUCUCUGUUUUCUGCUCCAGGAUGAUGGGACAGGAUGCCAUCCAGAGGGAUCUGGACAAGGUCAAGAAGUGGGCCCACGUGAACCUCAUGAGGUUCAACAAGGCCAAGUGCAACGUCCUGCACCUGGGCUGGUGCAACCCUCAUGUCAACACAGUCUGGGGGAUGAAGGGAUUGAGAGCAGCCCUGCCGAGAAGGACUCGGGGAUACUGGUGGAUGAAAGAUUGGACAUGAGCCAGCAAUGUGCCCUUGCAGCCCAGAAGGCAAAUUGUAUCAUGGGCUGCAUCAAAAGCAAUGUGGCCAGCAGGUUGAGGGAGCUGAUUCUGCCCCUUUGCUCUGCUCUGGUGAGACCCCACCUGGGGUCCUGUGUCCAGCUCUGGAGCCUCAGUACAGGAGAGACAUGGACCUGUUGGAGAGGGGCCAGAAGAGCCACAGAAAUGAUCAGAGGACUGGAACAGCUCUGCUGUGAGGACAGGCUGAGAGAGUUGGGGUUGUUCAGCCUGGAGAAGAGAAGGCUUCAUGGACACCGUAUUGUGGCUUUUCAGUACUUAAAAGGGGCCUAUAAGAAAGAUGAGGCCAGACUUUUUAGCAGGGCCUUUAGCAGGACAAGGGGUAAUGGUUUUAAACUAAAGGAGGGAAGAUUCAGGCCAGACAUGAGGAAGGAAUUUUUUACUAUGAGGGUGGUGAAACAGUGGCCCAGGUUGCCCAGGGAGCUGGGAGCUGCCCCAUCCCUGGAGACAUUCAAGGCCAGGCUGGAUGAGGCUCUGAACCACCUGAUGGAGCUGAAGAUGUCCCUGCUCAUUGCAGGGCGUUGGACUGAAUGAGCUUUCAAGGUCCCUUCCAACCCAAACCAUUCUAUGAUUUUAUGAGUCUAUGAUGGGUCUUAACACAAUGAAUUUCCUUAUGUCUGUGACAUUUCACUGCAAUUCUUUAAUGACAACAGAGCUGUUGAUAAAUAAAAUCUCAUGUCAGUCACAGCAA